GGCUCAGAACGAACGCUGGCGGCAUGCCUAACACAUGCAAGUCGAACGAGAUCUUCGGAUCUAGUGGCGCACGGGUGCGUAACGCGUGGGAAUCUGCCUUGGGGUUCGGAAUAACUCCCCGAAAGGGGUGCUAAUACCGGAUGAUGUCGAAAGACCAAAGAUUUAUCGCCCUGAGAUGAGCCCGCGUAGGAUUAGCUAGUUGGUGUGGUAAAGGCGCACCAAGGCGACGAUCCUUAGCUGGUCUGAGAGGAUGAUCAGCCACACUGGGACUGAGACACGGCCCAGACUCCUACGGGAGGCAGCAGUGGGGAAUAUUGGACAAUGGGCGAAAGCCUGAUCCAGCAAUGCCGCGUGAGUGAUGAAGGCCUUAGGGUUGUAAAGCUCUUUUACCCGGGAAGAUAAUGACUGUACCGGGAGAAUAAGCCCCGGCUAACUCCGUGCCAGCAGCCGCGGUAAUACGGAGGGGGCUAGCGUUGUUCGGAAUUACUGGGCGUAAAGCGCACGUAGGCGGCUUUGUAAGUCAGAGGUGAAAGCCUGGAGCUCAACUCCAGAACUGCCUUUGAGACUGCAUCGCUUGAAUCCAGGAGAGGUGAGUGGAAUUCCGAGUGUAGAGGUGAAAUUCGUAGAUAUUCGGAAGAACACCAGUGGCGAAGGCGGCUCACUGGACUGGUAUGACGCUGAGGGGCGA
Molecule: ribosomal RNA, 688 nt
Filed under: Sphingomonas sp. RS-1
Lineage: Bacteria; Pseudomonadati; Pseudomonadota; Alphaproteobacteria; Sphingomonadales; Sphingomonadaceae
Description: bacterial SSU rRNA
Rfam family: Bacterial small subunit ribosomal RNA
Source: RNAcentral